Small nucleolar RNA from Hyla sarda, 132 nucleotides. The record is from RefSeq and is a predicted model, not a curated record. Lineage: Eukaryota; Metazoa; Chordata; Amphibia; Anura; Hylidae.
GCACUGGCUUUGAACUGGUGGUCAGCCUGUCAGUGGCACCAUUGGCCAGGCUCCAGUGCCAAAGUGAAGGCUUGUUAUAACUGGUGCUGCCUGGCUACACCCAUGUUGCGCUUUUAGUACAAAGCUACAUGU